AGAGUUUGAUCCUGGCUCAGAUUGAACGCUGGCGGCAGGCCUAACACAUGCAAGUCGAACGGUAACAGGAAGCAGCUUGCUGCUUUGCUGACGAGUGGCGGACGGGUGAGUAAUGUCUGGGAAACUGCCCGAUGGAGGGGGAUAACUACUGGAAACGGUAGCUAAUACCGCAUAAUGUCGCAAGACCAAAGAGGGGGACCUUCGGGCCUCUUGCCAUCGGAUGUGCCCAGAUGGGAUUAGCUUGUUGGUGAGGUAACGGCUCACCAAGGCGACGAUCCCUAGCUGGUCUGAGAGGAUGACCAGCCACACUGGAACUGAGACACGGUCCAGACUCCUACGGGAGGCAGCAGUGGGGAAUAUUGCACAAUGGGCGCAAGCCUGAUGCAGCCAUGCCGCGUGUAUGAAGAAGGCCUUAGGGUUGUAAAGUACUUUCAGUUGGGAGGAAGGCGUUGAUGCUAAUACGUAUCAACUGUGACGUUACUCGCAGAAGAAGCACCGGCUAACUCCGUGCCAGCAGCCGCGGUAAUUC
This 529-nucleotide ribosomal RNA is filed under the name uncultured bacterium. RNAcentral's name for it is "bacterial SSU rRNA". It matches the Rfam family "Bacterial small subunit ribosomal RNA", at positions 8 to 526 of the family's 1533-position model. The record is from RNAcentral.